RNAcentral lists this long non-coding RNA (11398 nucleotides) under Triticum aestivum (bread wheat). RNAcentral's name for it is "long non-coding RNA (TAES_LNC017589)". Lineage: Eukaryota; Viridiplantae; Streptophyta; Magnoliopsida; Poales; Poaceae. The record is from RNAcentral.
UAAUGCAGCAACAAGAAACAAAAAGAACCUAGGACAAAAAAUAGACCACAAACAGAGUGGACAUCAGCUUAGAUGUGACAUAACUAUGUCACAUGUAGAUGUGUCCUGACAGACCCUUAAAGAUUUCAACUGGUCAGGCCAUUUCAACUCGGGCAAAAUACAGAGCUUAAGCAGGAUAAAAGUAGUUCCAUAAUCAGCAAAAUAUGAUGGUAUCCCAGGUAGGCUACAAGCAGUAAAUAAUAAUAUCUUUCAACACAAGCGAAAUCUUAAAACAGGCAUCCCGGAGUCACAUGCUAGCUUGCAAAAACAACGAGACGUCAUAAACCCUAGGUACCCUAGACCCUUCUCCCGUCGGCGGCAACGGGUGUCAUCGUCGUCAUCCCCCGCUUAGAAUCCGAGCUUGGUGCGGCGCCAGUGCCUGCGCUUGGCGUUGUACCUGAGACAGCAACGAGACCGCUUAGGGGGGCCGUCUCCUCUUCAUAGAUCCACUACUAGCGCUGGCAGCUAACGGCGGGCGAACCGUGGGAGAACGGAGAAGGUCAUGGCGGCGGAAGGUACCUGAUGGUGUUGUCGGUCCUCAUGCGGAUCCAGUAGGGGAUGGGGCGGUUCUGGCGCUGCUUCUUGGCCAGCUUCUGCUUGAUCCGGAAGGUCUUGUGCGACGGCUGCGGCGGAUUGGAGGCGACGGGUCAGCGAGGAUCCAUGAAGGAGGGAACACGGGGAGAGGAAUCGAAGCAGGGGGAGAGGGAUUCGAGGGAGAGUGAACGGAGAUGCGUACCAUCGUGACGGCGGGGAGGAAGCUGCGGCGGCGGCGGCGCGAGGAAACCCUUGGAUCGGAGGAGGGGGAAAUGGAGGCCGUGAGGGUUUAUAUAGUGGAGAGCAGUGCCGUAUGGGCCUAAUGGGCUCGGCUAGUUCUUUGGAAUGAAAUAUGUCGGCGGACUGACUACUGCGGGUGGGCCUUUGUGUCAAACGUACAGAACUGGGCUUUCAUGGGCCCGCACGUUAUGUCUGUACUCUUCCCUUUUGUGAAAACAGACAUCGAGACUGGGCUUUAAUGGGCUCAUAAUGUUACGUCUCUGAUUCCCUCCUCCGCGUCUCACAAUAACGGCUUCCUCUAGAACCCUCUACAUCUGAGGGCCGCUUAGUACCCGAGCCCAAGCUGACUUCUGGGCCUGGCACUAUGAUCGAAGGGGGCGUGUUUUUAGUUCGGUCUGCAUACCGAUUACUGGCUUCAACAAAACAGCAGAGAACGGACUGGUUGGAACAUGUUCCGGGGCACUCUCAUUGUGAGGCGGACAGGAGAUCAUGGGGUAAACUCUGGAAUCUGAGUAUUCCGUCCAAGAUCAAAGUUUUUGCUUGGCGUCUAGCCAAGACUUCUAUUCCAACUGGAGAUGUCCGGAACCAUAGAAAUAUGACAGAUACACCGGCUUGUUCUAUAUGCAAUGUGGCGAUUGAUACCUGGAGGCACUCGUUAUUUGAUUGCCACAUGCCCCGAUGUGUGUGGGCACUCGCCGAGGAGGAACUGACAGAGGUUGCUAGCUAUUUCAAACCGAACUGAGGAUGCUAGAUUAUGGGUAUUUUGGCUGCUUGAUACCUUACCGGAGAAGGAGGUGGUUCAAAUCUUGGUUACGAUGUGGUCCAUAUGGUGGACGCGGCGGCGUGCUAUUCAUGAUGAUCAGUACCAAAGCCCCAUGAGCACCUCGGUUUUUAUCACAAAGUUUCUGGGAGAUCUUGACUUGAUGGCCGAGAACAAGUUUCGUCCAGCCAAGGACCUGCAUGUGAUGCCUAAGGGCUGCAUGUAACAGCUGAAAAUGCAAGGACCAAAGCAACCAGGCCGGUAUGGAUUCCCCCAACAGAUUUCGAUGUGAAAAUUAAUGCAGAUGGGGGUGUGUCAAGAUGUGGCAGGAGAGGCGCUGCAGCGGUCAUUUGCCGUGAUAAGGCAGGAGCUUUCUUGGGAGCUUCAGCAAGAGUUUUUGAAGGCCUUACGGACCCGCCCUCGCUAGACGCACAAGCAUGCAAUGAAGCCCUUGCCUUGGCUACGGAUCUCAAAUUGAAUGUUGUAUGUGUGUCACCGGACUGUAUUGAAGUGAUCUCCAAGAUCGGGACUAAAGCUCCAUGCCACUAUACGUCGAUAUUGCGUGAGAUUAGUUAUCACUCUACUUAUUUUCAGGAUAUUCGUUUCGUUCAUGAGAGUGGGAAGUUAAAUUUUGAAGCUCAUUCUCUUGCGAAAGCUGCAGUUUCUUUGCCUAGCGGGCGCCAUGUGUGGCUUGUAACUACGCCUGAUAUCAUAUGUAUCCCUAUGAAAAUCCAAAUUUAAUAAAGUUCACAGAUGCUCAAAAAAAAACAAUAACGACUUCCUCUACAUGGACUGCAAAGUCAUUUUGUGAGGUAGCGGUGCCUACCGGUACAUUGGGCACCACACACUUGUUUAAAGAUUUGUACUAAUCUAUAUAGCAUGUAUAUUUCUUGUACGUGACUAGGGAGCAAAUGUGUGCUCCCUAGCAUCCCUGACAUACACUCCGUUUUAGGAAAAGCUUUGUCUUUCUCCCACCAAAAAGGUAAAUUGACAUGUUUGGUCCCUCCUGGUGCCAGCAAGACCGAUACCACCUUCUCCUUCUCCUCCNNNNNNNNNNNNNNNNNNNNNNNNNNNNNNNNNNNNNNNNNNNNNNNNNNNNNNNNNNNNNNNNNNNNNNNNNNNNNNNNNNNNNNNNNNNNNNNNNNNNNNNNNNNNNNNNNNNNNNNNNNNNNNNNNNNNNNNNNNNNNNNNNNNNNNNNNNNNNNNNNNNNNNNNNNNNNNNNNNNNNNNNNNNNNNNNNNNNNNNNNNNNNNNNNNNNNNNNNNNNNNNNNNNNNNNNNNNNNNNNNNNNNNNNNNNNNNNNNNNNNNNNNNNNNNNNNNNNNNNNNNNNNNNNNNNNNNNNAAAAGCCUAUCUUAUUCCCUUUCAAUCUUCUUCCUCCCAGAUCUAGUUCGAUAGCUACAACGUCAUUAGCAUACACUAAGAGCUGCAGAAAAAAACAAAAGAAGUCUAAUCAAACUUUGACUUACAUGUACCCCUGCACACUCAUGCCUAACCAAAAGAAGUUCCUGUCCAAGAGGAAGAAAACAUGGUCUAGCAAAAAAAUUGUGUUGCUCAGAGGUUUAUAUAACUCCCAUAUCAUUCCUAGGUUUGGCAAGUAGUGUUCUAACAAAAAGCAAAUUGCAUAGUAUAUCCAGGCAACUCCAAGUUUUGUUUAUAAAAAGGAUUAAGAGGAAGCAACUUGUACUGUAAUUGUAGGCAAUUUUCAUAUAUUCUGCAGUAAACUCAUUAGCUUGCUUGCCGAAGAAAAAUAAAAAAAGUUGAGCAACUACUACUAGGUUUGUAGCCAAUAUGCCUACAAGUUUCACGCAAAAGAAUGUGGACCUACAAUUUGGGGAACAUCAAGUUGUGCUAUGUCCCGUUGGCAACAUGCAUUAGUGGUUGCAGACAAGUUGUGCUCUGGCCUAAGCAAACUGCAUAAUAUAUCCAGACAAACUCCAGCUUCUGUUUAGAAAAAGGACUGAAAAGGUAGCAACUCGUACUAGGUUUGUAGGCAAUUUCCAUAGAUUAUGUAGUCAACUCAUUAGCUUGCUUGCCGAAAGAAAAAAUGAAAUAGUGGAAGUCAGGAGCAACUACUACUUGGUUUGUAGGCAAUUUUCCUGCAAGUUUCAGGCAAAAAAUGUGGACCUAUAUUGUGUGGACGUCUCGAUGAGGAAACAACCUGUAGGAUUUUUGAGUUCUUAAAUACCCUAACCCUAUGGGAGUCAGUUAACUGGUUUGUAACCCAAUGAAAACAGAGUGAAAAGGGUUGGGGCAGGUGGACAUACGCAAUUCCCAUCUAAUUUCGGGAAAAAAAACAAUGACCCAUGUGGGGGGAAGACACUUGUCAGAUCAAACAAAAAAUGAAGGGGAGGCAGAAAAAUAAAAAACUCUCAGGGGUCGUGUGAAGUUUACCUUCUGGUGGAUCUUGAAGCUUCUCUUGCUUGCGAACAAAUACUGGAAUUCUAAAACCAACAAAGUCCUGCCAAGAAUGUAGAAAAAUAGCAUAUGAUUUUCAGCCUAAAACUCCAUUUUUUAAAUUACUUACACUAGUAGAAAACAUGGCUUUGGUUCGGCCAGAAAAAAGCAUUAAUCCCGGUUGCAUUACGAACCGGGACUAAUGUAAGCAUUAGUCCCGGUUCGAGCGGCUAGGGCACCGUACAUGCAUUAGUCCCGGUUCAAAUGGGACCUUUAGUCCCGAUUGGUGCCAGGAACCGGGACUAAAGGGUGCGAUGCCCAUUAGUACCGGUUCGUGGCACCAACCGGUACUAAAGGUUAGACCUUUAGUCCCGGUUCGAGCCACCAACCGAUACUAAUGGGGUUUGAGGCAUUAGUACCGGUUCAUGGCACGAACCGGUACUAAAGGUCCAUUUUCAAACUCUACCCCCCCUUGGAUCGCCUUUUCAGUUUUGUAAAAAGCAAAAGAAAAUGAUAAAAAUUUCAAAAAUUAAAAUCCUUCCGGAUGUAGUUAUGUUACUACAUGUACUAGUUAGGAAAAUUUAAAAACUUACAUUUGGACAUGUUUUGCAAAAAGUGUAGGGAAAAUGUAAAACGGCUAUAACUUUUGCAUACGAUGUCAGAAAAAAACGUAUAAUAUAUUAAAAUGUUCAGCACGAAAAUCCGCAUCCGAUUUUGACACCCUAUGGCCUGUUUGCAAACUUUUAGAAUCCUCAAAUUCUAAAAGGAAAAAAAGUUAUGCUCAAAUUUCAGUUUUUUUUGAAUUUUUGUUAAAUCUGGUCAAACUACUUAUUCAAGAAGUAUUAGUGUUACUAAAUAAUUAUUCAAGAAUAUUAGUGUUACUAAAUAAUUAUUUUAGUUUUUUUGAAUUUUGGUCAAAUAUGGUCAAACUGUGGUCAAACAAUGGUCAAACUAAUUAUUCAAGAAAUAUUAGUGUUACUAAAUAAUUAUUUCAGUUUUUUUGAAUUUUGGUCAAAUCUGGUCAAACUAUGGUCAAACUACUUAUUCAAGAAAUAUUAGUGUUACUAAAUAAUUAUUGUUUUUUAGAACAAUAGUUUCAAACUCAAACAGUGAAAUGUGUGACUUCAUGCUCAAGCUAAAUUCCCGAGGGUUAAUAGGAUUGACAUCUUACUAUUGUCAGGAAAACAACAAGUGCAGACUUGGAAACGAGGGAGAAUAGAACCCGGAAGUUAAGCGUGCUCAGGCUGGAGUAGUGAGAGGAUGAGUAACCGUCCGGGAAGUUAGAUGAUUUGGAAUGAUGAGGGGUGAUUAGAGAUUAGAGGUUAAAUUGAGAAGUGAUGAGGGGUGAUUAGAGAUUAGAGGUUAAAAUAAUUCAGAAAUUUGAAAAUAAAAAAAAAUUCAAAAAAAAUCAUAAAAUUUCCUUUAGUACCAGUUGGUGUUACCAACCGGGACUAAAGGUGGACCUUCAGGCAGCGGCCACGUGGAGGACCUUUAGUCCCGGUUCGUGUAAGAACCGGGACUAAAGGGGGAGGCUUUAGUAACGACCCUUUAGUCCCGGUUCCAGAACCGGGACUAAAGGCCCUUAUGAACCGGGACUAAAGGCCCUUUUUCUACUAGUGUUAGCUCUUUAUGGCUAUGUGAUAUUCUUACCUGUGAAAAGAGUCUAAUGGAUCUUCUUGCUUGGGUAUGGCAUCCUUAGAUGACUCGACCCGAUGCCCCCCUCUCUAAAGUUAACGAGGGCCCUGGAUAACAGUAUUAGUGUCAAGUUGCCUAAUAUCAUCUGUGAAGUUUCCUAUCAUGACUUUCAACCCAAUGCCCCCCUCCCCUAAGUUGUCUACCAUGACUUCCAAGUUACCUAGAAUAACCUUUAUUUAUUUUUUUGCUAUCAUAACUAGUGAGUAUCCUAUCAUUAUCCUAAGUUGCCUACAAAAAAUCUUUUCAAUAUUCUAAGUAACUUAGUUUCAAAGGAAGAUAACCUUAGCAACAACGACGGGCAACCUCUUUACAGUACUAUAGGCAACUAUUUAGCGAGGACAGACAACUAAGGAUAAUCAAUAGGCAAGUAAUUAGAGAAAGGUCAAGGAGCUGAAUAGUCACAUUAGGCUUUUAAAAAUCAAGGAAGUCUAACAAUUGAGCAUGAACCAUACGAGACUUCACCGGCUCUCAGGAGUGGAUCUGUGGGCAAUUCGCACCAGCAUCUCUAGGAACUACCUAUCAUGCGUUGGGCGAGUUUUUGAGUGGAAAAAACACAACGCUCUCGGGAGUGAAUCUCUGGCAACUCGCACCAACAUCUCUAGCAACUACCUAUCACGCGUUGGGCAAGUUUUGGGCGAAACCGCACCACUCACGAGAACAGAUCUCUAGGAAACUCACGCCAUUAUCUUCUGCAUCUAACUAUCGCGUGUUGGGCAAGUUUUUGGGUGCUUCCCUCCGCAAACCCCUCUUCAAUCUCCAUUUGCAUCCUCGGUCAACCUCAUCGCCGUGCAUCUCGCGUUCGUCGACUCCCCCGCAGCCUCGAAGGCCCAUCCCCGAUCGACAAAACCUCGAUUUGUUGGCGGCCUACGGCCGGUGUCAUUGUCGCCGGUUCAAUCCUGAACAACAUCCAUCUCUAUCGACGUAUAGACCAAGUCUUUGGAUAGAUUGUGUAAACUGGGCCAAUUUUUCCCAAUGAAUAACAAUGGGGAUGUCGCAUCUCCGAGUUGACUGCUAGUUGUGUUGUCGUUUUAUCGAUCUUCUAUGGCUACUGUACUAUUGGUACAUGCAAGAAAUUAAUCACAUGUAGGCAACGUUUACCAAGUGAUUAGGCAAAAACUAUUUCUAUGUAGGUUAGUGACCUAGCGAUAUAGCAACUUUCGUGAAUAUUAAAGCACUUUGUUGCUAUAAAAUGUCCUCUUGUACGAUAUGUAACUCCGGUAAAAAAACAUUAAAAUUAGAUUAAAUGAUGGUGUAAGCAACUUGCAAUUAAAUUUGGGCAAAUUUGAAGGGUGACAUGGAAACAUUAUAGGGUUCCAACGCACAUUUUUUCACCAAAAAUCAACACUUCCAUAUCUCAACAGAUCACCUUCUGAUCCAAUAUGUCACUAGAAAAUAGGGUACAUAGAGUCGAUCACAAAAAAUGGUGAACCUUUUAGUAUUAUCGAGUACCGACGCAACUUAUGUGCUAGUACAAAUACUUCCACACGAAACAACACUCCUAAUUCACAACAAAAAUUGAUGGUUAUAUUUACUUAUGAUUCUAAGUUGUAUGACUAUUUUAAUAAAUUGCCUACAAAGGUACGAUGAUGUAGAUUGCGUUGUAACUUCAAUAAAUAUGCUUACUCUAAUAGUUUCAGGCAACUUCACAACCAGUCAGUGCGCAAAAUUAGCAUGAAACACAGGCAACCAAAAAAAUUGUUGAGGCGAAAAACAAAUUUAGGCAAAAUUCGUACUAAUUCCAGGCAAGUUUUGUAGGUUACCUGGAAACACAUGAUAAAGUUUCUUAAUUGUAAACGCGUGGGGGGGGGGGGGCUCCAACAUUGCUAGGCUCUCUUUUUGAGAAUUGUCCUGCAACAAAAAAGACCUGGAAAAACACACAGAGGGACACCUGGUAGAACUGGUACUGCAUCCCACAUACACAGGCUCCCAGGGCAAGUCACAUACAUAGAACAGGCAAUUCAUAUGCAUGGAGAUAAUAAAAAGUUCACAUAUAGAGUUAUUCACAGGGCUGGGUGCACCAUAAAAAUUUCAUCGAUAUACCAAACCCCCGCACAGAUAACAUAUAUAUGCUCUGCUGUUUUUCGGAGAAACACAGGAAAACACACAAAAAGUGUGACUAGCUAUAUUGUUGCUUGUGCAAUUUUUCCGGAAACACAUUUUCCUAGAAGUGGGGGCCUGCGCCCUGCAUCGCUUUUAAAUUGAUGCUUUACUUCUGUCCAUGUUUCCUCUGAUUUCACUUAUUGAACACAAGAUGAAAAAGAAAAUGAAAACUUGUUUAUUGUUUGGCGAAUAUAUACAACAUGAAAAAGGGGAAAACUUUGGUUCUAAUGUUUGUCCCAUCAGUUGCCUAGUGUUGUUGAUUUAGUUGCUUCACAUUUACACAGUAUUUGCUAGUUCCUGCAGGAACAUAUGCUAAACAUUAUGAAGAUAUGCUAGCAUUGUGAGGUUGUGCUGCAGAACUUGGAUCAUGCGCAUCAUUUUGCGUGUGGAAAAUCGCUAAGUUCAGUCAUUAAUCAGAUCGCUCUGUACAACAACCCAUUCCCCUCGCCAUCCCCUCUCCCAAUGAGCCCAACCAAAAGCCAAAUCCAUGUUAGGAAGAAAUCAACACUGAAAUUGACUGAAUCUUGCAACUACUGCACCCAAACCAACACUUGAAUCCCUUGUUUCAGAUUACGUAGCUGCCCAUGGUACACAUAUCUUUUGGCAUGAGCCAUAACCAUGAUGGUAUGAUGGCACGAGCGGUAUGUAGGGGAAAACUUACCCCCGUUCUGUUGGUAUACGAGAAGCGGAGCCAUGAUGAUAUGAUGGUACCACACGUCAAGGUCAACAUCUCUCUGUAGCAAUAUGUAAGCAGCAAUCUAGAAGCACACACAGACGCAUCAAGCACACAUCAGCUACGCACAACGCAGAUGAAUCACCUCACGCAUGCGCACAUCGCACAUCAAGCACGCGGCUCCGGUUGAUGCUGAUGGCCGUGGGGUUCAUCCGCCUCUGCGCUGCCGGAGAGAUGGUGUACGGCGGGGAGCAGACAAACAACUGUAUCCUGAGAUGGAGAGCUCCUGCACCCAUCCAAACUGUGCCCCGCGAGCCACGGAUGCGGCAUGGAGAGGCACCUUGCGAGGGGGCGGCGAGGAAGCCGAUGACGUGGCCGUCAGCCGCGACGACGAGCUAGGGUGGUGCGUCGUGGAUCUGGGAGCGCCGCCGCCUCACCUGCUCGAUCUGGAAGCCCAACAUAGAGGGUAAGUAGAGGGAUGAUAUGGUGGGGGCGGUGGCUGAGCAGAGAGACGGGGGAGGGGCGGCGCAUCGGGAGAUGGGCGCGCGCCGCAUCUGGAGAAGAGCGACAAAGGAAGAGGCGGCUGCAUCGGGAGAGUGAAGGAGAGGAGGUAGGUGGGGUGGCUUCAGAAAUCUGACCGUGUGGCAUCUGGCGCCCUUGAUUUGGAUCUGACGGCGCGCGAGGGUGUGCGCUCAGGACGCCCAAACAACACAAUUGCAGUUUUUAGAAUUUGGAAUAUGUUUUGCAAUAAUUGAAAAAAUAAGCACAUUAGCUAUAUAAAUCGAGUCUGUGAUGGAAGGAAUGCUUACGGUAUCCUACAUAUUAGCUAGCUUGUUUGCGGAAAUCUAAUUUGGCUCUAGGAAGCAUAUGGUCCCGCACGUCCAAAAAUGUGGCUGUGGAAGCUUUCUUUUGAGACUGAUGCCAUGUGGGCCCAAAUCCUUCGCAGCAAGUACCUACAGACAAAGUCCUUGUCCCAGGUCACAGUCAGGCCAACUGACUCGCCUUUCUGGAAAGGCCUGAUGAAAGUCAAACAAUCUCUGUUUUUUAGGACAAAGGUUGUUAUUGGCAACGGCGCUAGUACACGCUUCUAGGAGGAUACUUGGCUCGGCGAGACACUUUUGGCCAUUCAAUAUCCGUCUUUAUAUUGCAUUGUUCAACGACGUGAGGUGUUCGUUGCUACGGUGUUUCAAUCCAUCCCCCUUAAUAUUCAGUUCAGACGGUCGUUAGUGGGCAAUCGUUGGGAAGAUUGGUUCCGUCUAGUUCGGAGACUAAUGGAUGUCCAUCUUUCUCAACAACCCGAUGUAUUACGCUGGAAACUGACUAGGUCUGAAGUAUUCACGGUUAAAUCAAUGUAUAUUGAUGUAAUUAAUUCGAGCUCCAUUCCUACCUCCAAGCACGUUUGGGCUGUCAAAGUUCCUUUGAAAAUAAAGGUGUUUAUGUGGUUUGUCCAUAAACAGGUUAUUUUAACCAAGGAUAACUUGAUUAAGCGUAAUUGGACAGGACCUACGAGGUGUAGCUUUUGUGAUCGGGACGAGACGAUCAAACAUCUCUUUUUUGAUUGCCCAUUUGCCAGAGUACUUUGGAGGACGGUUCACAUUGCUUUUAAUAUUACUCUACCGAAUUCUGUCACUACGUUAUUUGGGACAUGGCUCACUGGGAUUGAGCCUGAAUUAGCGAGACAUAUUCGCGUUGGAGUUUGCGCUUUGUUGUGGACUAUCUGGACUUGCAGAAAUGAUUUGGUUUUUAACAGAGCAUCACGUAUUCACUUUUGGCAGGUUAUUUUCCGAGCCACGGCUGUGAUCCGUUCAUGGUCGCUACUCACUCCGAUGGAGGCCAGGGAGCAUUUGGUUACUGGAUCUAUCCGCUGGGAGAGGGUAGCUCGGGAUAUCUUCAACCGGUUUGGAUGGCAGUCAUGUAAUAGGAUAGGCAAUUAGUUUACCUAUCUAUCUUUAGCCAGCCGGUUGUGGCGUCUUAUCUUGACUAGUCUGUGUGUCCAGCCUCUUUAGCUUUGUGUGAGCUGUCUUUUUAUUACUUUUCAGUCGGAGACUUGGAAACCUUGUUGGAACCUUUUAUUUCGUUAAUAAGAGGGCCGUAUGCAUCACUCUGAUGCAGAGGCCGGGGAGAUCCCCUUUUCAAAAAAAAACGUCCAAAAAUGUAUUUAAAUGUCAAGAAAAGUAGAAAUAUAUAUAUAUAUAUGUGUUCAUUGUCACACCCUAAUGCUACCUUCAAAUUUUUAGUGGGAAAGCUUAAGCAUUUUGAUCUGUACAAAAAAAACAAUUGAACAUCAAAUGUUACCUCCAAAAUGUUAGACAUAAUUCUAAUUAUUUUUCACCGGCGAAGCACUGCUCUUCCAUUUCACAUGAAAAUUAUUAAGCAUGCCUUUUAUACUAUCACGAACAUCUUUAAAAAAAUCAGAAUUUUUUAAAUAUGCAUAAGCUAGUCAAAGCUGGGCUUUUACCUUGGAAGUGACUCGGGGAAAUUAUUUAGCAAGAGCGAAAACUGAUUCGCAAAAAAUGAAAAGGCCAGAGUACUCUCUGUCAGAGAAUGUGCCAGCGCAGCUUAACAUGAAAAUCGAAACAGAGGACACUAAUUAUGAUUAGGGGAUCAUCAAGACAUCAAUAGUAAUACAAGAAUGAAGAAAUAUGCUCUAACGAGGCUACCGUAUACACAAAGCUGUUGGAGACCUCGGGCGAUGACCAUACUAACCUCGAGUUCUUCCCGACACAGCUUAUGCUAAACUAAAAACAAACCCACCCACACACACACGCGGAGAGACAGAGAAGUGAAUGGAGCGGAAACAGAGCAAGCGCAAGGCACGGGGACAGAGCAUGUGCGGAGGCGCGGCUAGUAGGAGAUCUCCAUGGAGAAGUUGGAGUCCAGCAGCUCCUCGAUCAUCUGCUCCACGUACUGCUCCUCCAGGAACCCGCCGCUCCACCCGGCGGCCGCCGAGGCCGCCGCCGC